CGCUUUUUGUACUUUUGCACUAAGUGUACACUAACUUGUUUUUGUUAUCGGACAUAAUGUAACCGCUGUUUGUUUUGCCAGUGCAGUUACAUUUCUGGCAACACUUUUUGUACUUGGUCUUGAAAAAAGUAAAAAGAAAAAAGUAAAAAGUGCAAAGUGGCUGAAGACUGAAAAGAGCAACGCGCGCCAAUUUGCGCGCGAGUACACGUGCUCUCGCGCAUCGAAUCGCGGCGACAGAUUCCAAGUCAGGAAAUCAAUUAGCACUUGACAGCAGCUAUUGUCUUUUUGACUUAUAAACAAUAAUAAUUAUUUAAUUUAACGAAAAUUAUAAUUCUAGAUUCUUUUCCUUCCUUCGCAAGUUCCGGAGUCGUUGUGAAAGGACAAUCUAGAACUUUUGUGAUAUAAAAAGAUUGCCGAGACAACCGCGUCGUCUGUCUGAACUUAUCAUUAAAACAGAAUCAGUAUCGGCGUUAAUCAAAAUUCAUAGAGUUGCUUGCUCUCAAAGAUUGCUUGCUCUAUUAAAUCACAGUGUUUUACGAGGUUGCUUGCCUCGUAAAGAAGUAUCAUUGCUUGCGCAAAAUCAUUCAUCAUGAUCGCUUCGCGUUUGCAAAUUUAAAUAGUGUAAUUAGUUCGAUCCGUGUAUAUUACGUUUUUUUUUGUGAACCGUAUUAAAUGUAUAAUAAAUUAUUGACUUGCAUGCAAUUCAGUGAAUGUUUCUUUCGUGCGAAUUUUUUUAUUUCAUUUUUUUACUCCGUGAAAUCCAAACUAGUUAUUUAACGAACAAGUGUAUACACAUUCUUUUAUACGUAACUUUUUAUAACAUUUGUUUUCAGAAUUAUUAUAUAUUUAUAAAAAAGUAAUAUUAAAAGGCAGCAGAUAUUGUGCAAUUACGUGGCUUUUUACAACUGGACUCUUUUGGAAAAAUAAAAAUGGAUUCAAAUGGAUGUGUAAAUUGCACAAUUAAAGAUGGAAAACAGUUAAAAUUUCCGAAGAGAGAUAUAAAUUUUUCUUCGGAUACUUUAAUCUUUAUUCUUGAUAGAACUGAAAUUUGUGUAGUCCUUUCUAAAACAAGAAGAGAAAUAUGUAAUAAUACACAAAAUCAAAAUGAUGAAAAUAUUCAAAAUGAUCAAAAUGAUCGUAAUGAUCAAAAUUAUAAAAAUGAUCAAAAUGAUGAGAAUGAUCAGAAUUGAUCAAAAUAAUCAAAAUAAAACUGCUAUAAAUACAACUUCGUGGUUUUGGAACGAUACAUCAACAAAAUUGUUAGACACUUAUAAAUCUAAAAAAAA
This is a long non-coding RNA of Pogonomyrmex barbatus (red harvester ant), 1286 nucleotides long. The record is from RefSeq and is a predicted model, not a curated record. Lineage: Eukaryota; Metazoa; Arthropoda; Insecta; Hymenoptera; Formicidae.